AGAACGAACGCUGGCGGCAGGCUUAACACAUGCAAGUCGAACGGUUGUAGCAAUACAGCAGUGGCAGACGGGUGAGUAACACGUGGGAACCUUCCUAGGGGUACGGAACAACUCAGGGAAACUUGAGCUAAUACCGUAUACGUCCGUGAGGAGAAAGAUUUAUCGCCCCUAGACGGGCCCGCGUAGGAUUAGGUAGUUGGUGAGGUAACGGCUCACCAAGCCUACGAUCCUUAGCUGAUCUGAGAGGAUGAUCAGCCACACUGGGACUGAGACACGGCCCAGACUCCUACGGGAGGCAGCAGUGGGGAAUCGUUGGACAAUGGGCGCAAGCCUGAUCCAGCCAUCGCCGCGUGAGUGAAGAAGGCCUUACGGGUUAGUAAACGCUCCGUUUUAACAGGGUACGAAGUAAGUGAACGGUACC
This 421-nucleotide ribosomal RNA is filed under the name uncultured soil bacterium. Its description in RNAcentral is "bacterial SSU rRNA". It matches the Rfam family "Bacterial small subunit ribosomal RNA", at positions 26 to 468 of the family's 1533-position model. The record is from RNAcentral.